This 442-nucleotide ribosomal RNA is filed under the name Marinilabiliales bacterium. Its description in RNAcentral is "bacterial LSU rRNA". It matches the Rfam family "Bacterial large subunit ribosomal RNA", at positions 2470 to 2925 of the family's 2925-position model. The record is from RNAcentral. Lineage: Bacteria; Pseudomonadati; Bacteroidota; Bacteroidia; Marinilabiliales.
GGGGAUAACAGGCUGAUCACUCCCAAGAGCUCACAUCGACGGAGUGGUUUGGCACCUCGAUGUCGGCUCGUCACAUCCUGGGGCUGAAGCAGGUCCCAAGGGUUGGGCUGUUCGCCCAUUAAAGUGGCACGCGAGCUGGGUUCAGAACGUCGCGAGACAGUUCGGUCCCUAUCUGUGGUGGGCGUUGGAAUUUUGAGAAGUGCUGUCCUUAGUACGAGAGGACCGGGAUGGACAUACCUCUAGUGUACCUGUUGUGGCGCCAGCCGCACCGCAGGGUAGCUACGUAUGGAAUGGAUAAGUGCUGAAAGCAUCUAAGCACGAAGCCUGCUUCAAGAUGAGAAUUCCUUUAAGGGUCGUUGAAGACUACAACGUUGAUAGGCUGCAGGUGUAAAGGCGGUAACGUCAAAGCCGAGCAGUACUAAUUACCCGUAAGCUUUCUUAA